This 8665-nucleotide small RNA is filed under the name Mytilus galloprovincialis (Mediterranean mussel). The record is from RNAcentral. Lineage: Eukaryota; Metazoa; Mollusca; Bivalvia; Mytilida; Mytilidae.
AUGUUCAUGAAGCAGAUGAACAACGAAUUUGUAAGAGACUCGGAAGGAAGUUGGGUAGCACCGUUGCCGUUCCGAGUGCCAAGACAGCCAUUGCCAAGCAACAGACAACAAGCUCUUCAUCGUGCUAAUAUGUUAGACAUCAGUUUGAAUAGAAACCCAGUUAAGCGGGAACACUUUCUUACUUUUAUGAGUAAGAUCCUAGACAAUAAUCAUGCAGAGCUCGCUCCACCAUUGCACGAACAUGAGGAGUGCUGGUAUUUGCCAUUGUUUGGUGUUUAUCAUCCGAAGAAACCCGAUCAGAUAAGAGGUGUGUUUGAUUCUUCCGCCAAAUGUAACGGAGUUUCACUUAACAGCGUCCUGCUUACAGGUCCAGACUUGACCAACGAUCUCUUGGGAGUACUGCUGCGUUUCAGGAAAGAAAUGAUCGCAGUAACUGCAGACGUUCAACACAUGUUUCACUGCUUCGUUGUCAGAAAAGACCACCGUAAUUACCUGAGAUUUUUAUGGCAUAAAGACAAUGACCUACAGGAGAACCUUGUCGAAUACCGCAUGAGAGUUCAUGUUUUCGGGAAUAGUCCGUCACCUGCUGUUGCUACGCUUGGACUCAGAAAAGCAGCUCAAGCAUCAGAACUAGAGUUUGGCAGUCAUGUGACUAACUUUGUUACAAGAAACUUCUAUGUUGACGACGGUCUAACGUCAUGUCCUACUAAGGAGGAAGCUGUUAAGCUCAUGAAGGACACACAGCAAGCAUUAGCAAAAUAUGGAAACUUACGUCUUCACAAGUUUGCCUCUAAUUGCGCGGAAGUUAUGUCUGCAUUUCAUGCCAGUGAUUUGGCUUCAAAUCUUAAAGAUUUAGACUUAGAAUGCGACAGCAAACCCCUACAACGUAGUCUUGGUCUCAGCUGGGACGUAAACACUGAUAACUUCUUAUUUCAAUUAUCAUCAGAAAACAAACCGAUCACUCGGAGAGGAAUUUUAUCAACGAUAAACAGUCUCUACGAUCCUCUGGGAUUUUUGGCUCCGGUGAUUAUACAAGGGAAACUCCUAUUGAGGAAAAUAGUAUCAGAAACCGUCGAUUGGGACCAACCUCUCACUGAUGAGACAGCCGAUGAGUGGAAAUCUUGGAGAGAUACUUUAAUAGCUAUCGAAACACUGCGCAUUCCACGUACCUAUGUGCCGUAUCUCAGUAAAACUGCCACAAAGGAGUUACAUGUAUUCUCCGAUGCAUCAGAAAAAGCUAUAGCAGCUGUUGCAUAUCUACGCACGACCGACAGUAGUGGUGAACCAAACAUAGGUUUCAUUCUUGGGAAAGCUAAAGUUGCACCAACAAGUGGUCAUACUAUUCCACGUCUUGAACUAUCUGCUGCAGUUUUAGCAGUCGAGAUAACACAGACCAUCAUGGAUAAUUUAGAUUUACAUAUAGACACUGUAAAAUUCUACACAGACAGUAAAGUAGUCCUAGGCUACAUAAGUAACGAGACAAGAAGGUUCUUCAUCUAUGUCGCCAAUCGAGUAGAGAAAAUAAGAAAAUUUAGCUCUCCAAGUCAAUGGAAUUAUGUACCAACUCACCGUAAUCCCGCAGACUCGGGAACAAGGUCCGUACAAGCCCAUGAAAUUCACAGCAGCGAAUGGUUAUUAGGACCAAAACAACUUCUUUCCUCAGAACAGAAGAAUUCUGAGGAUAUAUACCAGCUAAUAGAUCCACAAGAAGAUGGAGAAAUCCGUGCAACUGUUAAUGUUGCAAAAACAUUUUCCACACCUGAGCAUAAAGGUAUCGGAACUGAUAGAUUCAAUCGAUUCUCCAACUGGACAUCACUUGUGCGAGCGAUAGCCUUUUUGGAACGUUUCUCCCGUUUACACGGGUCAAAACAGGUAUCAUCAAUGACUUCUCUGGAUAGUUUUUCGGAUGCCGAAAAUUUCAUCUUAAUAUCUGCACAACAUGAAGUUUAUGGAGAUGAAAUAGAUUGUAUAAAACGUCGGGAACAAAUUAACAAGCGGAGCCCGAUAGCUAACCUUAAUCCGUUUUUGGAUGAACGAGGACUAUUACGAGUUGGAGGCCGUAUUGUAAAAUCUGACUUACACCUCCGUGAAAAGAAACCAUUGAUCGUCCCUGGACGCCAUCAUAUAGCGACAUUAUUAGUUCGACACUUCCACAAUAAGAUAAAACAUCAAGGUCGCCAUUUCACAGAUGGAGCGAUUCGAUCCGCAGGAUUUUGGAUCGUAGGAGCAAAACGCUUGAUCUCAUCUAUUAUUCACAAAUGUGUGAUAUGCCGCAAACUCAGAGGAAAAACCGAGUAUCAAAUCAUGUCUGAAUUGCCAGAGGACCGUCUUGAACCUUCACCUCCGUUUACUAACGUUGGAAUAGACACCUUUGGACCCUGGACAAUUGUUUCACGUAAAACACGUGGUGGAUACGCCAACUCAAAACGUUGGGCAAUUUUAUUCACAUGCUUAGUGACAAGAGCUAUUCACAUCGAAUUAAUCGAGGAAAUGAGUUCUUCAGCCUUCAUAAACGCUGUCAGGAGAUUUGCCGCUAUAAGAGGCCAAGUUAAGAUUUUCCGAUCUGACCGUGGAACAAACUUUAUCGGAGCAAUCGACGAUUUAAAUAUUGACUCAAUCAACGUUGAAGAUGGACCCUUCAAGAACUUUCUGUACAAUUCUGGUACAACUUGGAUCUUCAAUCCGCCGCAUUCGUCCCACAUGGGUGGAGCCUGGGAAAGAAUGAUUGGUAUCACCAGGAGAAUUCUUGAUUCUAUGCUUCUUAACGCAGCCGGAAGAAGUCUAACACAUGACGUGCUUAACACACUAAUGGCAGAAGUUUCAGCAAUAGUGAACUCUAGACCUCUGGUACCGGUGUCAACAGAUCCAGAGAAUCCGUUAAUAUUAACUCCGGCUAUGUUAUUGACACAGAAAACCAACUACGUUUUCACUUCAGACCAUCUUGGGGAAUACGACAAACGAGAUCUCUGUCUUGCCGAAUGGAGACGAGUGCAGGCUCUGGCCAGUGUUUUCUGGUCCCGUUGGAGGAAGGAAUACCUGCCGUUACUACAACAACGACGAAAAUGGACCGAAGAUCGCCGUGAUCUCAUCGAUGGAGACGUCAUUCUUCUAAAGGACAAAAACCUUUGCCGUACUCAAUGGCCCGUUGGAAUUAUAGUGAACUCAUUAAAAAGCUCAGACGAACAUGUCCGAAAAGCAGAAGUGCGAGUAAUCGUUAAUGGAAAAGCCACAACCUACACACGCCCUAUCGUGGACAUGAUUCUUCUCAUAGAGAACAACCCUGUGUAAUUAUAUGUAUAUAUUUUUGGAUUCAUAUAGUGACAUUCAUAUGUGUUAUGGAAUAGUGAUAUCAGGUAGAUUUCAGACGGGGAGUAUACUGAUUCACUUUCGCAAUUAUAUUAACUGUAUAGUCUAUUGGAUUAAAUUUUCAGACAUCCAUAUUUUCCGGAAAUAAUCUGGACUUGUCCGUAUUUUCACUAGUGCUUACUUUCUCUUCCUCACCUGUCUAUUGCAAAUGGAUGCCACGACAAAACGACUCCUGUGGAUAUUGUGACAAAUCACCGUCAAGUACGUUUCAAAUCAAUUAUAAACUGUUAAAUAUAUAUACCGUUAAUUCCGUUAACUUGAAUUCCACGUUUAUUCAACAAAUACGAACUGUAAUUGUUUAUUUCUAUGAAUUGAACUGAGAAUUCUACUUUCGUUUUUGACUUGAUAUUAUUACUGCAUUGAACAUUCAUAUAUUUCUUUCGUACAUAUUGUAAAUAUUGUAUUUUUAUUUCUUUCAGUUUACCAAACAUUACACACUCUGUAAAACUCCUGUAUCCUUUCUGGUGGAAUUAUAAUCUACAAGCUUCACUCACAAGUUGUUAUUCUUUAUAAUUUGCCGAGAUUGCGAUACAAUCCCAUGGUUAUACUAGCUGAGUCAGGCUCAGCAUAUACAAAAUUAAUUUGAAAUUUGUAGAAAAGGUUGAAACUGGAGCAAUUCUGAGGUAAACAAAUUUGAAUAUCAUAAUUUGUUAGUCAAGUAAAUACAUUUUGCAUUAUAAUGUGAGUGACUUUUGUCCCUCUAAGCCUUGAGUUCACUGGACCUCAUUCAUAUAUGGCCUCCUGAGGUUAAUAAUAUAUAUGCUAUCCUUAUUUAGUCAUAACUUUUUUUUUCAUUUAUUAUUCAGUAUAAACUAGAAUUUCAUUCAGUAAAAUUUUUAAUUGAGUUUUAUGAACGAACACAGGUAAGCCUCUACAAUACCUUUUGGUCAGAGUACCCCAUAGUCUGGAAAAACAUAAUGUUUCUCACCCAGUCAGAAAAAAGGAAGUCAUUAUGCUAGCUUUAAAGCUUUUGUGUUUGACGAUCACAAACUUUCUUUAAAAAUAUACUUAUAUUGUCAACGUUGGAUGAUUUUGAAAAACCUGUGGUGAAUUUUAUGAAUGAAACUGGAAAUUUGAGACGUGGAUCAACAAUUCAAUGAAUAAAUUCAUAAUUUCAGUAUAUAGAUCUGAUGUAUUGUGAAUUGUGUCAGCUCAAGGAUCUUAUAUUUAUAGUAGUUUUGUUGUGUUUUGUGUUUUUCAUACAAGGAUUUUAAGUUCUCUGUAUAUAUAUAUAUAGAUAUGAUAUUUUUGACUUGUGGUAUAUAGAAUGUUUAAAUGGAGGAUAACUUUCUAAUUAAGUAUGUAAGUACAAAUUUGCCAUGGAAAGGUUUUAAAAAAUAUUAACUUCUAUUUAGUCUCAUUUGUAAAAAAUCGCACCUUUUUAUUUUAUCUUAUUUGAAAAUUGGUCACAUAGCUAUAUUCCUUUUCAUUUCAUAAAUUUCUGUAUUCUCAAGAAAUGGUAUUAAGAUAUGAAAAUAUUUCAAUCCCAUAAAAAGUUGAACAGGAUAUGAACACAUAAUCAUAAUCUACUGACCCUACUUGUUGGGGUGCACACUACUCCAUUCAUAAUUGACUAGGAUUGUCAGUUUUCCUAUCAAAGGUCUGAGCGCUACAGCUUCCUCCACCAAUAAAAACUGGCUGGCACGACAUAGCCCACAAACGGCCUUCAAAAGUGGCAUUAAAACACAAUCAAUCAAUCAUUAGCCACUGGAUAGCAAAGCACUUUUUGGUGAUUUUUUGUUUUCAGUGCUAUUGACAACUUCCCAAUUGAACUAGUUUUCCAAUUAGCACAACAGAUGACUAUUUUUGUGGUAGAAUGGUAAUGCCUCACUGGUACCUUUGAAGAUUGUUUUUAUUUCUUGUUUUUUGUAGUUGCUAUUUUUGAACGGUUUACAAAACUCAAUUGUAAUUCAUUUUAUUUGCAGAUUAUUUGGAAUAUGUUGUAAAAGAAGAAUUCAGAAAUUUCCUUCUCACCAAACUCAAGACCAUUUAGACUUUAAUGACAUUAGGUAAGCUAUGAUUUAUUGUAGUUAAUCAAAUGUGACCAGAUAUAUAAAGGGAGUUAAUCCAAUGUGACCAGAUAAAUAAAGGGAGUUAAUCCAAUUUGACCAGAUAAAUAAAGGGAGUUAAUCCAAUGUGACCAGAUAUAUAAAGGGAGUUAAUCCAAUAUGACCAGAGAAAUAAAGGGAACCCUAUAUCUAAGUCAAACAUAAACAAAUAUAGACAGUACAUUUAUCUUAAGCUUUGAAUUUUUUUCGUAAAUUCCAAAUUCUCAGGGAGUUAAUUUCUGAGCAAAAUAAUUAUGAAUGUUUCAUUGAUGAUUCUUGAGGUAUUAUUUUUAAAAGGAUGAUGUCUAAGUAGUUACUACUGUAGUCACUAACCAAUCAACACUGAGGUUGUGAGUUUGAACCUCACUCGUGCAGGUGCACUGGACACAAAUCUUGAUUGACCAAGAUUGUCAGUUUUUCUACCUAAGGUCAGUGGUUUAUCUGGGCACUGGCUACCACCAAACAGCCCACAAUUGGUUCUAAUAAGUAGUGUGUUAAAACACAGAAAAUUAAAAUAAAAAGAAUAAUGCCCAAAUUUUUCUUUUAAAAUAAUCUAGGGAAAUAAAAGAUGGUCGCAUUUUGAUAUGAAUAAAAAAAAAAUUCAUUGGAAUUGAAAAGAAUACAAACUGCUUGUUUACUUCUGCAUGGUUAAACUAUGUCAGUUUUUAUUGGGUAUGUGACAUACUUUUGAAUAGUUCAUAAAAGUUUUGACAAUUAUAUAUUAAAUUUGAUUUACUGCACUGUUAUUGAAGUGAAACUUUUUUAUGUCCUCUAGAUCUCCUUAUGAUUAAGAAUAACAAAUAGUGUUUAGUAUUUUAUUUUAUAUUUGUCUUUGCUUACCAUUGUCAUGAUAUCGAUACACCAAAGCACAAUUCCACUACAAUAUUACGUACAGCUAUAUCAAAAUAGAAAGUUACAGCACAUCUAAAAUGGAUGACAAAUAACAUUAAAACAUCACAAACGUCAAAAGCACCAGAAACAUCAUAACAAAACACAAUGAGUUUGCACAUUAAAAGGUAUUUUUAUACACAACACUUAGAAUCUGUGACACGAUAUCAUCAGAUAAAUAAAAGGCGACAUAAGAACUCAACAAAAGAGUUCACACUUUACCAUAAAUAAUGUCUGGUUGCUCAAAAAGUUAUUAUCAAAACACAUUAGAACACAAUGUCAUCAAACAAAAACAGACACAACACAUCAGAACACAAUGUCAUCACAUACAAAAACAGUCUCAACUCACCAGAACACAAUCUCAUCACACAAAAACAGUCUCAACUCAUCAGAACACUGUCAUUACACACAAAAACAGUCUCAACUCACCAGAACACAACGUCAUCACACACAAAAACAGUCACAACUCACCAGAACACAAUGUCAUCACACACAAAAACAGUCAACUCAUCAGAACACAAUACAGUCAUAACACAAACAGAUCACACAAAGAAUCAGUCACAAAAAACAUCAAAGUACGAUCAGUCACAAGGCAUCACACUCAAAAAUAGUCAAAACUCAACAGAUCACACACACACUAACAGUUACAAAAUAUCAGAACACAAUAUCAAAACAAAAACAGUCACAACCGUCACAACACAUCAGAACACAAUGUCAUCACACACAAAACAAGUCACAACUCACCAGAACACAAUGUCAUCACACACAAAAAGUCACAACACAUCAGAAUUCAAUAUUAUCACACAAAAAAACAGUCAUAACACAUUAUAACACAAACAAAUCACACAAAGAAUCAGUUACAAAAAAACAUCAAAACACAAACAGUCAAAAGGCAUCACACACAAAAAUAGUCAAAACACAACAGAUCACACACAACAGUCACAAAAUAUCAGAACACAAUAUUAAAAAACAGUCUUUUGAGGACAGUUGUCUCAUUGGCAAUCAUACCACAUCUUCUUUUUUACAACACAUCAGAAUACAAUGUCAUCAGGAAAAAAACAGUCACAGCACAUUAUAACUCAUUAACAGUUCAUCAAUAAUCGAAUAACUGUAUAGAGGACAGGCUUCAAAAAACAAAAUCACAAUUCACAAAAAAAAGAAACCCAGCCAUUGUAAACACCAACUGAUAUUGUAUAGUCAUUGUAUUGUAUUGUGGCAAAUACAAUAAAAUCCAUACAUUUCAACACACAUUUUAUAGUUGAAGCAUUGUAAUUUACCAAAAGAUGUCUUAUAUUGUGGUCUACGAACCCACACUGAAUACUAUUUUCAUUGACACUAGCUAGAUACACAAUGAGAUAAGAGUAUAAACUGAUCAAACUUUUUACAAGAAUAAAAAUUACUCCAAAAAUGUUGUUUUCCUUUCUUAUAGGUACUUAGUAACCAUGAAUGAUUGGAAUUUUUGUUUACAUUUAAAAGAAUUUCCGUUGUUACUUACUCAAAGUUACUUGACCUAAGUUAUAAAAAAAAUAGUAGAAAAGAAUAACUGUAUGAAUGUUUAUAAGUAUAUUUGUCAGGCCUUGUUUGUUCAGGGGGUUAUAAUAGACAUGAAAUUAAAGUCAUGUGUCAGUAUUUAUUUUUGAAUGGUUCCUUUAAACAAGAGGGAUAAAAGACCAGUUUUUAAAUUCUGAGCCUCAUUGUGAUAUAAUGUGAUCUAGUUUUGUUAUAUUUCUCUAAGUGUGGGAAGAUCUCAGUGACGAUAUGUUUUCAUUGAUGAUUAUUUUACCUUGACCAGAACUUUUUUAUGUAAUUCUUUUUAGCUAUUUGACCUUGUCUGUAACCUUUGUUCAAUAUAUAUAUAUGUACUUUCAAUGUACCAUUGUUUAUGUAUAAUUACGAAUAACCAUGGUCUGGAAUUUGUAAAAUCUUUAAAAGGAUACCCUCGUCAGACAUACUUGAUUAGAUUAUUGACGCAAAAAGGGUUACCUCAACACCAUGAAAUAAGUGACCUUGGCUUAGACUUGCAGAAAGGGUAAUCUUUACAGCAAAACAAUUUCAGUUCAUUUAUAGGUUACAGAGUUUAGUAGGAUGUCCUUUUUGACUGAACUAUUUCACAUUUUUGUUUAAGGGGCCAGCUAAAGCUAAAGCCCACCUCUGGAUGCCUGAUUUUCUCACUCAGUGUUGAAGAGCCAUAGGUGGCCUUGGGCUGUUUUCAUCUGUUUGAUGGGUUUGUUGACUCUGAUACAUUCCCUAUUUCCAUUGUUGACUCUGACACAUUCCCUAUUUCCAAUAACAAUUUUAUAAUACAUUUUUGUUUCAGAUAUGUUCCUGUAUACUACGAUAUGACUGGUCAUUACAGUACCUGA